Molecule: transfer RNA, 70 nt
Filed under: Mus musculus (house mouse)
Lineage: Eukaryota; Metazoa; Chordata; Mammalia; Rodentia; Muridae
Description: tRNA-Ser
Source: RNAcentral
GGGGUUGGUGAGUGGUUAAGAGUGCAGACUGCUCUUCUGAAGGUCCUGAGUUCAAAUCCCAGCAACCACA